GCUUGUAGUAUAGUGGUCAGUAUUCCAGCCUGUCACGUAGGUGACACGGGUUCGAUCCCCGACAAUGGUA
This 70-nucleotide transfer RNA is filed under the name Capsicum annuum. It matches the Rfam family "tRNA". Rfam says of the family: Transfer RNA (tRNA) molecules are approximately 80 nucleotides in length. Their secondary structure includes four short double-helical elements and three loops (D, anti-codon, and T loops). The record is from Rfam by way of RNAcentral. Lineage: Eukaryota; Viridiplantae; Streptophyta; Magnoliopsida; Solanales; Solanaceae.